This 1928-nucleotide ribosomal RNA is filed under the name human gut metagenome. RNAcentral's name for it is "bacterial LSU rRNA". It matches the Rfam family "Bacterial large subunit ribosomal RNA", at positions 3 to 1973 of the family's 2925-position model. The record is from RNAcentral.
UCAAGUGACUAAGUGUAUGUGGUGGAUGCCUUGGCGAUCACAGGCGAUGAAGGACGUAGUAGCUUGCGAUAAGCUGCGGGGAGCCGGCAAACGGGCUUUGAUCCGCAGAUUUCCGAAUGGGGGAACCCACCGACUUAGGUCGGUAUCACGCACUGAAUACAUAGGUGCGUGAGGCGAACGGAGCGAACUGAAACAUCUAAGUAGCUCCAGGAAAAGAAAUCAACCGAGAUUCCGAAAGUAGCGGCGAGCGAAAUUGCAGCAGCCCAGUGUUCUGAUAGCACGAACGACAGCAGAAGGGUCUGGAAAGGCCUGCUAUAGAGGGUGAUAGCCCCGUAUGCGAAAUCGAACGUGUGGUACUAAGGAACCGAUAAGUAGGGCGGGACACGUGACAUCCUGUCUGAAGAUGGGGGGACCAUCCUCCAAGGCUAAAUACUCGUGAUCGACCGAUAGUGAACCAGUACUGUGAAGGAAAGGCGAAAAGAACCCCGGGAGGGGAGUGAAAUAGAACCUGAAACCGCAUACAUACAAACAGUAGGAGCCUCGUUAAGGGGUGACUGCGUACCUUUUGCAUAAUGGGUCAGCGACUUACGUUUUGUGGCGAGCUUAACCGAGUAGGGGAGGCGUAGCGAAAGCGAGUUCGAAUAGAGCGAAGAGUCUCAAGGCGUAGACCCGAAACCAGAUGAUCUAUCCAUGGCCAGGUUGAAGGUGUGGUAACACACACUGGAGGACCGAACCGACUAGUGUUGCAAAAUUAGCGGAUGAGCUGUGGAUAGGGGUGAAAGGCUAAACAAAUCUGGAGAUAGCUGGUUCUCCCCGAAAACUAUUGAGGUAGUGCCUCGUGUAUGACUCCAGGGGGUAGAGCACUGUUAUGGCUAGGGGGACAUGGCGUCUUACCAAACCAUGGCAAACUCCGAAUACUUGGAAGUUUGAGCACGGGAGACAGAGCACCGGGUGCUAACGUCCGGACUCAAGAGGGAAACAACCCAGACCGCCGGCUAAGGUCCCUAAUAUUGACUAAGUGGAAAACGAAGUGGGAAGGCUAAGACAGUCAGGAAGUUGGCUUAGAAGCAGCCAUCCUUCAAAGAAAGCGUAAUAGCUCACUGAUCGAGUCUUUCUGCGCGGAAGAUGUAACGGGGCUAAGUCAAUAACCGAAGCCGCGGAUUCACACUUAUGUGUGAGUGGUAGGGGAGCGUUCUGUAAGCCUGCGAAGGUGACUCGUAAGGGUUGCUGGAGGUAUCAGAAGUGCGAAUGCUGACAUGAGUAACGUUAAAGCGGGUGAAAAGCCCGCUCGCCGUAAGCCCAAGGUUUCCUGCUCUACGUUCAUCGGAGCAGGGUGAGUCGGCCCCUAAGGUGAGGCUGAGAAGCGUAACUGAUGGGAACAAGGUUAAUAUUCCUUGACCACCGCUGAAUGCGAAGGGGGGACGGAGUAUUGAAGAUCAUCCGGGUGUUGGAUAUCCCGGUUUGCGAGCGUAGGAGGCUGACAGGCAAAUCCGUCAGCGAAUCUCCGAGGCAAAGCAUCGAGCUCUCUUUUGAGCGAAGUGAUUGGAUGUGCUUCCAGGAAAAGCCUCUAAGCUUCAGCUUGCAUAUGACCGUACCGUAAACCGACACUGGUGGGCGAGCUGAAUAUGCUCAGGCGCUUGAGAGAACUCAGGAGAAGGAACUCGGCAAAUUGACACCGUAACUUCGGGAUAAGGUGUGCCUUUGUAGCGUGGAGGGAGAAACACCCCGAGCGCGAAGAGGUCUCAGAUAAUCGGUGGCUGCGACUGUUUAUUAAAAACACAGCACUCUGCAAAGACGAAAGUCGACGUAUAGGGUGUGAUGCCUGCCCGGUGCUGGAAGAUUAAUUGAUGGGGUGCAAGCUCCUGAUCGAAGUCCCAGUAAACGGCGGCCGUAACUAUAACGGUCCUAAGGUAGCGAAAUUCCUUGUC